Non-coding RNA from Camellia sinensis, 800 nucleotides. The record is from RefSeq and is a predicted model, not a curated record. Lineage: Eukaryota; Viridiplantae; Streptophyta; Magnoliopsida; Ericales; Theaceae.
GGCUGGGAGUAUGAGCUUGAGAGAGGUGUCAGAUGCAUCUAGUGGGCAACAAGCUUCAAAAGAAAAUGAAUAGAGACAUCAUCUUCUUCUCCUUGUCCUUGUACAUUCCAUUCUUUUCCUCUCUUAUCAGGUCCAAUCUCUAGGAUUGCUUCUUCUAAAAUGACAAAACUGAAGAAACUGAAGAAUGACAUUCCAUUUCUUCCCGGGAAAUCUUUUUUUAGAUUCUUAUUUUCCUUCGUGCAGAGUUUCUGCAUAACUGUGGGAGAUAUGUGUGCAGGGCUUGGUCAAAAAUUAUAUCCAGAAGUUUGGUAUACCAUAUAAUUCUGGUUAUCUUGAGCUUAAUGAGGGAGACUUCAAAAUUACCUUGAGCUUAAUUUUGGUAUGCCAUAUAAUUCUGGUUACCUUGUUCUGGACAAAUGGUCUCUAGUUGUGGGGGUUUAUCACUGUUUUGUAGCUCACAUCCUAAAUGAUUUCUUUAUGUUCGGAAUCAUGUGACAAUGCAGUAUAAAAGCUUACCUUUUUCAAUUGUGGAGAGGGAGGUUUUCCCCUCGUCAUAUUGCUUUCAUUUCUUGCACUGGGGAGUACAAGGUGUUAUGCCAGUUCAUUGAUAGAGUGGAGAAACACCCGAGCAAGAAAAUUGAUAAGAAGAUUGGCCAGUUCUGGGUUGUAUUUUUUUCAUAAAAGAACUUUUCCCAAGCUUUUAGUUGUAAUAACUUUUACAUAUGGCUCAAAUUUUGAGACUCAAAUAGAAUGUUCAAUCAAACUAUAAUGCUAUACUGUCUGAAUUCUUGUCAUUGUUA